GCGGCUGUAGCUCAACUGGAUAGAGCGUUGGUCUACGGAACCAAAGGUUGGGGGUUCGAGCCCCUUCAGCCGCA
This 74-nucleotide transfer RNA is filed under the name Planctomycetota bacterium. RNAcentral describes it as "tRNA-Arg". It matches the Rfam family "tRNA". From Rfam's summary of the family: Transfer RNA (tRNA) molecules are approximately 80 nucleotides in length. Their secondary structure includes four short double-helical elements and three loops (D, anti-codon, and T loops). Lineage: Bacteria; Pseudomonadati; Planctomycetota. The record is from RNAcentral. RNAcentral also lists the same sequence under 1 other name.